RNAcentral lists this ribosomal RNA (467 nucleotides) under uncultured bacterium. RNAcentral describes it as "partial 16S ribosomal RNA". It matches the Rfam family "Bacterial small subunit ribosomal RNA", at positions 29 to 507 of the family's 1533-position model. The record is from RNAcentral.
ACGAACGCUGGCGGCGUGCUUCACCCCUGCAAGUCGAACGGAAAGGCCCUGCUUUUGUGGGGUGCUCGAGUGGCGAACGGGUGAGUAACACGUGAGUAACCUGCCCUUGACUUUGGGAUAACUUCAGGAAACUGGGGCUAAUACCGGAUAGGAGCUCCUGCUGCAUGGUGGGGGUUGGAAAGUUUCGGCGGUUGGGGAUGGACUCGCGGCUUAUCAGCUUGUUGGUGGGGUAGUGGCUUACCAAGGCUUUGACGGGUAGCCGGCCUGAGAGGGUGACCGACCACAUUGGGACUGAGAUACGGCCCAGACUCCUACGGGAGGCAGCAGUGGGGAAUAUUGCACAAUGGGCGGAAGCCUGAUGCAGCAACGCCGCGUGCGGGAUGACGGCCUUCGGGUUGUAAACCGCUUUCGCCUGUGACGAAGCGUGAGUGACGGUAAUGGGUAAAGAAGCACCGGCUAACUACGUG